Bombus pyrosoma is the source of this 1560-nucleotide long non-coding RNA. RefSeq lists it as uncharacterized. The transcript is spliced from 3 exons. Lineage: Eukaryota; Metazoa; Arthropoda; Insecta; Hymenoptera; Apidae. The record is from RefSeq and is a predicted model, not a curated record.
CAUCUUGAAUUAACAUAUUUCAUAUCAAAAGAAGAUUUUUGGAAAGAGAACAUAAAUGAAAAGCUAAUAUUACCGAUUAUGUGGUUAUCAAUAAAAUUCUCUGUAGUUCAAUAUAUAUACGUAUAUUGGCGAAAAUGCUAGGACACCAAUAUUGUGAAUUGUGAAAUUAUCAGACAGAAAAAUCCUGAAAGUCUAAUGUGUACAUACUACCGCGUCGCCAGGAAACGAAAGCUUGCUAUCAAAGGGUAAACGCUGUACCCUAUUAGACCGGUAUUUUUGCAACGAUACUCCAGAUCCAGGUUCUCGAGAGGAAGGAUAACGGUAAUCGUAGCGUUGGUUGGCGGCCUCGCAGAGGAAGGCAGCCACGGUGUUCAUGAUCAGAAGAGCGGCAGUAUCCUGGUCCUCCCUUUAGUAGUCUCAUACCACUAGCGUAUACCCUUACUAUGGUACCCCUGGCGGCGCGGUGCUAGCCAUGACACGAGAAUGUGAUUAAUGAUCGCAACAGAGAGCCAUGCACCGUACACCGCUCUCCUCUCUUUUCCCUCUUCUCCCCCGCCGUAAACUCGCUGGGUUCUCCUUCUCUAUCGUCCGUUCCUCUCUUCCCUGGACGGCCACCACGUUUUCUCUUCCCUCUGGUAUCGUUCUCUCUUUCAGCAACCCCUGCUGUUGCCGCUGACGUUGCUGCCGCGGUUGCUGCUGCCGCAACUGCCCUCUCUCUUUCUUUCUCUCUUAUUCUCUACUUGCAAUCUGACUGCCUGCCAACUUUCUUCCAUAGUUCUUCAUCCUCGUUCUCCCUUCUCGUGGCCACCGCUGAUUAUCCAUCGACUAUUUCCAACGCUGCCUCCAGCUGGUUUUCGCCGUUUUUCCUCGAGAUUCUCUUGUUCGACGCACCAACGUUGGCCUCAGUUCGACAGAAGAUGAGCAUUCUCGAGGGAAGAAUGAAGAGAAGACAAGUUUUAAAUAAUUCUACAACGAACUCAGUCUAACAGAUACUGUACAGCUUCUUGGAUUUGGUAAAAUAGAUCAGAUUUGAGUUUAGAAAUUUCAGAAAUCUUGGAACAGUAUGUUUGUUUCAAUACUGGGAUCUGUUAAGUAAUUGCGGAAGGUGUUUGUACGGUUUUUCCUAAGGGCUGAAUUAUAUUAUACAGAGUGGAGAGUUUCGUGUCCUCCGCGUUAAAUGAACCUGUCCAAGACAGGAGUCGUAAGAAAUGAAGAAGUCACGGGAACAGAGGAAGAAAUCAGUCAGUGCCUGCUCCAAGCACGAUGACUUUGACUCUAUCGACUCGUCUUCCGCUUAUCUAAAUCACUUAUCGAUAUCUUGCCCUGAUCCUGCUUUUCUUCAAUAUCCGAUCGCCGUCGAUCUUAAUAAUUGCACUUCCUCGUUUCGAUUUCAACGAUCCCUUAUAUAUCAAAAGGCAUACACGAAGAACCCGCAUUCCAACUUCUACCAAAGUAACUAGACAAAAUAAACCAUCGACUGGUUCCACUCACCAAACUCUCCUCUUCACGUCACGUGGAACAAUCGUUUGAACUGCAGAACAAUAAACCACCUCUUUGAUA